CAAGUCGAGGGGCAGCAUGGUCUUAGCUUGCUAAGACUGAUGGCGACCGGCGCACGGGUGCGUAACACGUAUCCAACUUGCCCUGCACACGGGGAUAGCCUUUCGAAAGAAAGAUUAAUACCCGAUGGCAUGUACGGAUGGCAUCAUCCAUACAUUAAAGAGAGAUCGGUGCGGGAUAGGGAUGCGGACGAUUAGCUUGUUGGCGGGGUAACGGCCCACCAAGGCGACGAUCGUUAGGGGUUCUGAGAGGAAGGUCCCCCACACUGGAACUGAGACACGGUCCAGACUCCUACGGGAGGCAGCAGUGAGGAAUAUUGGUCAAUGGGCGAGAGCCUGAACCAGCCAAGUAGCGUGAAGGACGACGGCCCUAUGGGUUUUAAACUUCUUUUGUAUGGGAAUAACGUGCGGUACGCGUACCGCAGUGCAUGUACCAUACGAAUAAGCAUCGGCUAAUUCCGUGCCAGCAGCCGCGGUAAUACGGAAGAUGCGAGCGUUAUCCGGAUUUAUUGGGUUUAAAGGGAGCGUAGGCGGAUUGUUAAGUUCAGCGGUAAAAUGUCAAGGCCCAACCUUGUCGUGCCGUUGAAGCUGGCAGUUCUUGAAUGUACACAAAGGGGGAUGGAAUUCGUCGUGUAGCGGUGAAAUGCUUAGAUAUGACGAAGAACUCCGAUUGCGAAGGCAGUCCCCUGGGGUAUGAUUGACGCUGAGGCUCGAAAGUGCGGGAAUCAAACAGGAUUAGAUACCCUGGUAGUUCCGCACCGUAAACGAUGAAUGCUGGUUUUUGGCGAUA
Molecule: ribosomal RNA, 787 nt
Filed under: uncultured Bacteroidota bacterium
Lineage: Bacteria; Pseudomonadati; Bacteroidota
Description: bacterial SSU rRNA
Rfam family: Bacterial small subunit ribosomal RNA
Source: RNAcentral